CAAAAUAAAAGAACAUCUUGAGGUUUGUAUACUGUUGUCAUUAAAAGAUAAGUGUAAUUUUAAUAAAAUCAAGCUCUUAGCCUCCCGUUAUAUAAAAUUAUUGAAAAGUGAUAUCAAUGCCUAUGGGUUAUAAAACUAUACAUACAAAUCAAAUAUCAAAAAUCUAAACAUUUUUUUUAUCAGGGAUUCAAGAAUAUAAAUUAUGAAAACAUCCACCAUCUAAACUUAGAUCCCAUAGCCAAAGCAAGUCAGGCCUUAAAUGGCUGUCAUGUGACAUAUCCAUCUCAGACUACUAACAGGGACCUCUGUCAGUUUCAAGUUUCUGUAAAGUAAAAGCACAAAAAUACCGAACUCAGAGAAAAAUUCCAAACGAAAAGUCUCUUAUCAAAUGGCAAAAUCAAAAGAUCAAACACAUAAAACAAAUGGAUAACAAGUGUUAUAUUCCUGGUACGUGCAUUUUCCGAUGUAGAAAAUGGUGGAUUGAACCUGGUUUUAUAGCUAGCUAACUUAAAACCUUUCACUUGUACGACAGUCGCAUACCAUUCCAUUAUAUUGACAACGAUCGAUGUGUGAACAAAAAACCCUGACAUAAUAGGUAAAAAUACAGCAGUCAACAUUGUGUUAUAAUCGUAAUUACAAUACAAAAAAAAAAAAAAAUGUAGGCAAAGCCCAUAAGCAAAAGAGCAAAAAUACAAAAAAUUACCAUAGCACAAUAAGACAAUGACGGGAUGCACAAGUGCCGAGCAAUGUCAAUUGGAUAUAACAAAAAUACACUAAACAUUGAAAGUAAUAUUCAAAAAGACAUUAUGUCAAAUAAAAGAAAACUAUAACACGUUGUUAUGAUCAUCAGCAACGCCAGUACGCAGAAUCGAUACUACAGGAUUAUCGUGUAUUAUUUGUAAAGUUGAUACGGAAUAUUCAUCAAUAAGGUCUUGGUAUCUUCUGAUAAACGUUUAGAAAAAGUAUUAGGCGGUCUUUGACAUAUCCCUGGUUCAUCAACUUUCUGCUGAUACACUGGUGACGUUUUACAAAGUGUGAGUAGAAUUUCCAAACUCUUGAGUACAUAGAUGGCCGUGUAAUUCAAUUUCGAGGUAUAAGUCUAAUCAUAUGUCUUAAAUUUCUAGUUCUAAGGUAUACAGGUAUAUUAAUGGAACCCAAUCAGAAAAUUUUGGAUUGUUAAUAGAAAAUUAAUAUAUAUCUGAUUGUAAAAUUAAAUGACCUGGCUUCUUUGAAUUUCUUGUUUCUGACAACUACCCGAAGGAGCUCGGACUCAUAUGAAAAUAAAAAGAUGUCGACAAGAAGAGGCGCACAGUUAGAUCCCAUAAGAAUGCCGACAAUUUCUUGAAAAAGUCUACUUACAAAUUCAACAAAUAUAAUGUCACUAAGAAACUCCAAAGUAUUUAAGAAGAACCUCUUUCAUUGAUGACAGAAUUUUGUCAUUCUAAUCGAAAAUUGUUUAGUCGAACAAUGUACCGUUGUUUGUACGGAAUUUGUGAAGCUUAGGUAUCCAAUACAAACAAGGUAAGUCCUCCGAUUUGAUGUUCAAUAUAAUUUUUCCAUUGAAGCCAUGAAGGACUUAUGAUUCGCCUAAAUCUCAUCCUUGUCAAAUGAUAUCUUUUUGUAUGUUGGAUUACUUGAUUAGUGCUCAUUUUUUCCUAAUUUUUUUUACAAGACACUCACAGUAGUACGAUAAACAUACAAAGACAAUUAUAUUUGAAACUUUGUCCGCAGGAUCAACAACAUACUUGUCACGAAGAGAUGAUAAGAUAUUUCACAACCUUUUUGUGUCUGACAACGGACUUUGGUCAAUCAUUCACACAAUUUUUCAACUACGAAUGCGACGUUUUAUCGAAGACUUGUUUGUAAUGACCCAUGCGGACAAAGUGUUUA
This 1890-nucleotide long non-coding RNA is filed under the name Mytilus galloprovincialis (Mediterranean mussel). The record is from RNAcentral. Lineage: Eukaryota; Metazoa; Mollusca; Bivalvia; Mytilida; Mytilidae.